RNAcentral lists this ribosomal RNA (164 nucleotides) under Corynosoma cetaceum. RNAcentral's name for it is "5.8S ribosomal RNA". The stretch from base 1 to 115 matches the Rfam family "5.8S ribosomal RNA", at positions 42 to 154 of the family's 154-position model. Rfam says of the family: 5.8S ribosomal RNA (5.8S rRNA) is a component of the large subunit of the eukaryotic ribosome. The record is from RNAcentral. Lineage: Eukaryota; Metazoa; Acanthocephala; Palaeacanthocephala; Polymorphida; Polymorphidae.
AGCAUUGCAUUAUGUGAUAACUUCUGUGAAAUGCAGGACACACAGAAUAGAGAUUACUUGAACGCAAAUGACAGUCGCGGGACCUGUGCCCGCGGCUACAUCUGUCUGGGGCAUUAAAAAUAUCACGGAGCAAAGGCUGGUCACCUUAAAAUUGCUCCUGGCAA